Molecule: non-coding RNA, 1786 nt
Organism: Pelodiscus sinensis (Chinese soft-shelled turtle)
Lineage: Eukaryota; Metazoa; Chordata; Testudines; Trionychidae
Source: RefSeq, a predicted model, not a curated record
CCAGGAAGCCCAGAUCACAGGAGAGAAUGAGGCCUGAGAAGCCCAAACCGCAGCUCCACUGAGGCAGCAUUACUAAUUUGAAAUGUUCAAUUUUACUCUAAAUUUUUGGAUGAAAACUUUCAGAGUUCGAAUUUUCACUGAAAACUCAAAUUUUUGGAGAGUUAGGGGAAGAGAAGAAGGCGGGAAAUUCUAGCAGCGCCGCUUCUCCAUGGGUCUCUAAGUGGCAGCUCUCAUGGACUGCAUGGGGGAAAAGCACAGAGUUGGGAAGAAGAAAUUGACAAAUGAGCAGAAUGAACUUUUUGAUCUAGAGUUUUGGUUCAGUUUGCGGCAAAGAAGAGAACCAUGUCCACAUUCCACACCUGUGCGUUCUGUUUUGGUUGGGACCUUGAUCUGCCUCCCCUUAUCUCAUUCUUUCAAAUGUAAAGACCUGUCCUUCCAGAAGGAAGGUAAGUCACAGAGAAGGGUCUCUGGUUAGCAUUGAAGGACUGUUUCUGCCUUCAGACAGAGUGAAUCUUCAAGAAGCUAAGUAUCGAAUAGAAUUGCUCAGAGCCUGCAGUGGAAGCUGUGUGUUAUUUGAUGGAUCACCUGGACAAAAUUUUUGGUGCCUGCCCACGCCGUGUGACUUUGGACAAUGUUCCUGAGGACCACCGAAAAAGUCACCAUGGACCGCCAGUCGAGAACCACAGCCUUAGUGAAAUUAGAGAACCGGCAAAGAACCACUGGCCGUUACAGCGGAGUUGCCCUGGGAAGACAAGGCAUUGACCACAAGCUCGGUGAGAGGAGCGAGGCUCCUGCGGAUCCUACGUCACUUCCUCUUCUGUGCUGCCCUGCCUUGAAUUAACAGCUGGGGCGUGAGUGCCACAACAGGCAACCUCUUCAGCGAGGCCCCAGGCAUGCCCAGGUGUGUCAUAGCAGGCGAGGGAGAAGGGCUGCUUGUGUUUUUCCGAGCCCCUUCCCUUGGCUGCGGCGUCGGAACGAGCAGCGCCUGUGCCGGGAGAAAAACCCAACGUUUCCAGGCCCGCUCGAUGGCUGCAGCUGGUGUCUGUACUAGCGCGGGUCUCAUGUCGGUGAAUAACAACACCUGACUGAGUCGAACAAGAGAUCUUUUUUCAAACACAUUUGAAGAAAAAUGACAGCCCCUGUAGCAGAGAAUGGAAUGGAUGAUAAAUCAUAGAAUGGGGAAAACAAUUGUGUUACUCUUGCUGUUACGAGCUCCUGCAUGGAAAGUCCAUAUGUUAUAUUUCUGAUGACAUAAAUUUAAUGAAACUCUUUUGAGACGCUGACCAGAAGUCAAUAUACAACUCAGGCAAAGAAAUGUCCUAAUGCCUUCCUUUGUUUUUAUAAUAGAUCUGUUGAUGUCUCUCUUUCCCCUCUGUCUCUUUCUCUCUGUCUUAUUAAGCCCAGCGAUAUAAUAUUAUGUGAAAUGACAUCAUGGAAUAGUAGCUCUAAUAUAGCAGCAUUAUCAGAAAUGUCACCCCUAACAAAUUAGCAGUCUUAAUGUUUGCCUUCUGGUCACAGUGUCUUGCUCCUUUUGUCUUCUACUAUAACUUAUAAUAACAAAGCAUGCGAUGCAGAUGGCUGCAAGGGAUGUUUCCAGUUGAUAAGCAUGCAACAUGUGUCGGUAGGGAUAUGGGGGAAAGCAGACUUUAAAAAAAUCCAAACAAAACAUUUCUGGCCUUGGGAACUUCUACUGCAGCUGCUGUCAAUAUACCGAAAGCGGGUUUCUUUUUCUUUUCAUUUAUAACUAAGUAGAAAAACAAUCCCAAGUAUCUUGUUAUGUGAUUCA